CCUACAGGCGGCAGCAGUGAGGAAUAUUGGUCAAUGGGCGAGAGCCUGAACCAGCCAAGUCGCGUGAGGGAGUACUGCCCUAUGGGUUGUAAACCUCUUUUGUCGGGGAGCAAAAGCCGGACGUGUCCGGCUGUGAGAGUACCCGAAGAAAAAGCAUCGGCUAACUCCGUGCCAGCAGCCGCGGUAAUACGGAGGAUGCGAGCGUUAUCCGGAUUUAUUGGGGUUAAAGGUUGCGCAGGCGGAUUUUUAAGUCAGCGGUCAAAUCGUGGGGCUCAACCCCAUCCAGCCGUUGAAACUGGGGAUCUAGAGUGUGCGAGAGGUAUGCGGAAUGCGUGGUGUAGCGGUGAAAUGCAUAGAUAUAACGCAGAACCCCGAUUGCGAAGGCAGCAUACCGGUGCACAACUGACGCUCAGGCACGAAAGCGUGGGUAUCGAACAGGAUUAGAUACCCUAGUAGUC
RNAcentral lists this ribosomal RNA (458 nucleotides) under uncultured bacterium. RNAcentral describes it as "partial 16S ribosomal RNA". It matches the Rfam family "Bacterial small subunit ribosomal RNA", at positions 338 to 795 of the family's 1533-position model. The record is from RNAcentral.